GUCGAGUCCGGCCGGGCAGUAGAGGAAAUUGCGGUAGUGACCCUCGGGCCUCGCCAUGAAGAGCCGCUUUAGCACCAUUGACCUCCGCGCCGUACUCGCGGAGCUGAAUGCUAGCUUGCUAGGAAUGAGAGUAAACAAUGUUUAUGAUGUGGAUAAUAAGACAUACCUUAUUCGUCUUCAAAAACCGGACUUUAAAGCUACACUUUUACUUGAAUCUGGCAUACGAAUUCAUACAACAGAAUUUGAGUGGCCUAAGAAUAUGAUGCCGUCUAGUUUUGCCAUGAAGUUUUAUGGAUGAGGUAACAGGCCAAUGAAAUAGGACACUGGGAUUGUGUAAACAUCUCCAAAUCAGACUACACUAAUAGUGCCGAAAACAUUUGAAGAGUCGGAGAUUAGUCAGUGCAAAACAGCUUGGUGUGGAUAGAAUUGUAGAUUUUCAAUUUGGAAGUGAUGAAGCUGCUUAUCAUUUAAUCAUUGAGCUCUAUGAUAGGG
Molecule: small RNA, 492 nt
Filed under: Pan troglodytes (chimpanzee)
Lineage: Eukaryota; Metazoa; Chordata; Mammalia; Primates; Hominidae
Description: processed transcript
Source: RNAcentral